GAUGAACGCUGGCGGCGUGCCUAAUACAUGCAAGUCGAGCGAACAGACGAGGAGCUUACUCCUCUGACGUUAGCGGCGGACGGGUGAGUAACACGUGGAUAACCUACCUAUAAGACUGGGAUAACUUCGGGAAACCGGAGCUAAUACCGGAUAAUAUGUUGAACCGCAUGGUUCAAUAGUGAAAGACGGUUUUGCUGUCACUUAUAGAUAGAUCCGCGCCGCAUUAGCUAGUUGGUAAGGUAACGGCUUACCAAGGCAACGAUGCGUAGCCGACCUGAGAGGGGGAUCGGCCACACUGGAACUGGGACACGGUCCAGACUCCUAAGGGAGGCAGCAGUAGGGAAUCUUCCGCAAUGGGCGGAAGCCUGGCGGAGCAACGGCGCGUGGGUGAAGAAGGUCUUCGGAUCGUAAAACUCUGGUAUUAGGGAAGAACAAAUGUGGAAGUAACUAUGCACGUCUUGACGGUACCUAAUCAGAAAGCCACGGCUAACUACGUG
RNAcentral lists this ribosomal RNA (497 nucleotides) under uncultured bacterium. RNAcentral describes it as "partial 16S ribosomal RNA". It matches the Rfam family "Bacterial small subunit ribosomal RNA", at positions 28 to 507 of the family's 1533-position model. The record is from RNAcentral.